GCACGAAUGAUAUAUCAUGUCUUUUUAUAUAAGUAGUAGAAAAUUUUACUUUUUAAGAUAUGAACUUUUUAACACACAUCCCACUAUUUGCAUAGUAAUACAUUAUGUAUCAUUUUAUGUUCCGAUCACACUGAAAAAUUUCUCGUUCACCACUCCUUUCCUAAUCAUGUCAAUGAGUCCCAUUUAAUGACAUUUUCUUGUUUUUUCCUAAAUCAUUAUAACUUUUUUCUUUGCUUCUAAUGAAUGUCUCUCUCCAAAGUUGGUUUUUUGUAUUCACGUGAUGCACGAAUCAACAUCCACAUCCUCUUAAAUAAAUAGUUAACUUGUUUAGUAUUGUCUUAAUUCCAUUAAUUUAUUAUUGUCUUUUGAUACUCCAUUUUCAUUUUCCUUGGAAAUUUAAUAAAAGAAGAAUAAUCAUUUGGAUAACACACAUAAUUCCAAAUCUUUUUUUAUAGCAACUGGUAUGAGUAUCAGGUACCCUUAACAACUCAAUGAGUUAAUUUACCACCUCUAUCCAGCUUCCAUCCAUGAAGUUUCUUCCAAGUUCCAACCCAGCAGCAUUAACGUCUGUUAGGGUGAUAUUUUAUAUAUAUUUGUUAACUCUUUUACCUAUAACUUAGUCAUGAUUAUAUAGUAAAUUGGUGAGUUUGAUGUGUUUUUGUGCGAUUUUUGUAGAGAACAUAAUUCGUGAAUAAAGCAGGGAAUUGGAAACUUAAAUUAGAGAAACUCAAAGAAUUAUCGAAUGGGAUGUGACUGAUGGGCUGGAGCAAAGAAUGAAACAAUACAUCAUAUGGGAAAUUGGAUCAUUAAAGCAAGCCCAAUAAAAUUAGGCAGUGCAAGCUUGCGGUGAUGGUUUUCCCAAAAAGAAUUGGGUUGGAGAGAAAACGGCAUGUGGAUUAGAAAAAAAAGGAAAAAUGCAUAGAAGAGAAAAAGGGUUUUGGAACCGUCUGACGAAUAGAACCUACCGGGCUCUCGAAUUGCUGGGGGGAGAUUUCAGGAGCCGCAAGAGGAGUGGAGACCCAAAAAGAAAAAUAACUCAGCGCAGACACAUACAUAAGCCGAGGAAAGAAGAAGCAAUUUGAGAAUUCUAGCUUUGCUGUGGAGUGGAGAAUGGAAUUUCAGUUGUUUCCUUCUUUGAUUUCGAAUUCUAGCGUGGUGUAUUUUAUUUCGAUCAUGAACUAAGUCCUUUUGCUAGGAUUAGGGUGUACUCUUACCAUGAACAUCUAAUUCUUAUUAUUUCAUAUUGAUCUCGGUUGUUUUCCAUGUUGAGUAAUUGUUAUUGUGCUUAUUCGUUAUCAAAUAACUGGCCAUUAUUUGUGUGAAGAACUAAAUUGGGACUGAUAGGUUGAGUUUAGUAGAUUGCUUCUCAUAACAAUUACCAUGAAUUGCAUAAUUGAGUAGACAUACUGGUUAUGACUUGUGUAGUAUUGUGAAAUUAUCCAUUUAGCGUAAAGGGUUUCGAUUAUCUACUUCUGUGGUUAGACAUAGCAUGGGUGGAUAGUUAGAAACACAGUUAGUAUAUUCUGAAAGGAAAUAUUGACAAAUCAAGGGAUAAUUGCUAGCAACAUGGGAAUAAUUUGAGUUUAAUAUGAAUAACGGGAUUAGAUGGGAUUGAGAAUGAGGAACCUGAUGUCCUAGUGCUUCAAUAUAUUAAUUUUUCAUAAUUCAUUCACUUUUACUUCGUGUUUGUUCAAUUGAUAUUUUCACUUUCGUUUGGCGUCUUUGCAUAUUUGAAUUUGUCAUCGUAAUCCAUCUUUUAUUUAAGUUUAGUUUGAAGUCAAUCUCAAUAGUAAAUUUAGGUUAAUCCGAUCCUUGUUUGAACGACACUCUACUUAUCACUAUAUUACUUGGACGAUAUUGUACACUUGCAAUUAUCAACAACAAGUUUUUGGCGCCGCUGCCUCGGAUCGAAUUUAAUUCUAUUUUACUUUUGUGAUUUUGUUUAGUUUAUUUAAAUUUUAUUUCGUUUUUUUUAAUUUUGAUUAUUUUUUUUCUCGGAGUAUUCUCACCUUGUCUCAUUGUUUCUUGAAGGUGAAUGCUUGGUACUCGUUCGUCGGAUUGUGUACUACUUGAGUUUGAACCAGAAAUUGAGAAAAUACUCCGUGAAAUCCGAAGAGAACAAAGAGAAGUCAGUGAGAAAGAAAAGCAGCAAGAGAGCAAGAUGGCGUUAGUUCAGAAUGAAACGAUGGGGAGAUCUUGAUAUGCCAACCAUUCCGGAAUCACCGUCGAGCAUAGCUCUUCCUGCAGCUGCAAGGAAUUAUGAAUUGAAGACUAUCCACUUUAAUAUGAUGCCUUCUUUUCAUGGCAUGAGCACUGAAGAUCCAUUGGCACAUAUUAGAGAUAUCUUCAAUAUGGUGUCCAACAUGGCAUUGGUAGAAGGAGUCACCGAGGAACAUCUCAGGAUGAAGGUCUUUCCAUACACUAUGAAAGACAAAGCGAAGACUUGGUUGAAUUCUUUGAGGCCUAGAACCUUGACGAGUUGGAACGAUAUUCAGAAUAAAUUUUUGGAGAAAUUCUUCUCGACCCAGAAGACCGAUACCCUUAGAGAUAAUAUCAUGCAGUUCACUCAACAGGCAGAUGAGACGUUUUCUGAGGCAUGGGAGAGAUUUAAUAAUUUGUUGAUUCAGUGUCCACACCAUGGUUUGCCUACUCUAGUUCUCAUGCGGAUAUUUAUAAAGGAUUAACAGUUUCAAGCAAAGCUGCAGUGAACAACUAUGCAGGGGGAUCAAUUAAGAACAAGACGCCAGCCGAAUGUCAAGCACUUUUUGAUACUCUAGCACUCGAAACACAACAUUCUGAAGCAAGAGGAAGACGGGCAGGAGUUUUUGAGAUUAAUAAUUCUACCGAAUUUGCUUCAAAGGCACAAGUCGAUGUGAUUGCUAGUAAACUUGACACUUUGCUUUCUAUGAAUGGGAGAGCAUCAGUUCCAGAGGUUUGUUCCAUAUGUGCAGUUCCUGGUCAUGCCACAGUUGGUUGUCCGUAUAGUGUUGAUUUUCCAGAAUUUGUUCAAGAGCAAGUGAACAUGGUGAGUGCUUACAGACGUCCUGGUAACGAUCCAUACUCCAAUACUUAUAAUCAAGGAUGGAGAAACCAUCCAAAUCUCUCAUGGGUCAAUAAUCAGAAUGUACAAAAGCCACCAUCUGGUUUCCAACCUCAAGAGAAGAAGAAUAAUUUGGAAGAUGUCAUUGCACAGCUUGCUGGUAACGUGAAUACUCUUUCCGUCAAUACAAAUCAAUUUAUGAGCAAAACUGAGACAACUCUUCAGAACCAGGCUGCUUCAAUAAAAAAUUUGGAGAUUCAAAUGGGGCAGUUAGCUCAUUCUUUGGCAGUUAGAGAAAAAGGUUCUUUUCCAAGCCAAACUGAAGUUAAUCCAAGAAACCAUGAGCAAGCUAAAGCAAUAACUCUUCGAAGAGGGAAACAAGUGAAAACAGCAGCUGAUUUUGAGAAAAACAAUGAGGAAGAAAAGGUAGAAACCAUUUCAAAAGAGGUGCAGCCACUGUCCGAUGUUGUACAGCCACUAGCUAUACCGGGAACCACUUCAAAAGCUUCACCACAACCAGUCAUUGCAACCACACCACUCCCUAAGCCUGUUGUCCAACCCGUGAAGCCAUAUGUGCCCCCCUAUUCCUUUUCCUCAACGGCUCAAGAAGAAUAUGUUAGAUGAGAAGUAUUUCAAAUUCUUAGAGAUGUUUAAGAAAUUGGAGAUUAAUAUUCCAUUUGCCGAUGCUUUGGAGCAGAUGCCGAAUUAUGCUAAAUUCAUGAAGGAUAUCAUCUCAAAGAAAAGAAAAUUUGGCGAUCAUGAGAAGAUUCAGUUGACAGAAGAAUGCAGUGCAAUCCUUCAAAGAAAGCUUCCGCUCAAGCAAAAAGAUAGAGGGAGUUUCAAAAUUCCAUGCAUUAUUGGCACUAAUUUAUUUGAAAAAGCAUUAUGUGAUUUGGGGUCUAGUAUUAAUUUAUUACCUUUAUCUGUUGCUAAGAACAUUGGAAUAGGUGAAAUUAAACCCACUACUGUUUCUUUGCAGAUGGCGGAUAGAUCAAUUGCAUAUCCAUAGGGAAUUAUCGAAGAUGUGUUAGUGAAGGUUGACAAGCUGAUUUUUCCAGCAGAUUUCUUGGUGUUGGAUAUGGAAGAAGAUUAUGAGACUCAGUUGAUUUUGGGUCGGCCAUUUCUUAUCACAGCUAGGACUUUAAUUGAUGUGGAACAAGGGGUUUUGACAUUGAGAAUUGGGGAAGAGAAAGCAACAUUCAAAGUGUUCGAGGCUGGAAAAUUUCCAAGAGAAACGGAAGAUUGUUUUCGCAUUGAUUUAGUCGAGACCGCGAUUUCUGAAAAAUUCAGAGUUGAGAAGCCCAGUGAUCCUUUGGAAGCUACACUAGUUCAUGCUGCUACUUCAGAAGAUGAAAAUCAACUGUUAGCGGAAUGUGCUCUUUAUUUGGAUGCUUUCAAAUCAGUUACAAAGAGUGGACGAUUGGAGUUCGAAGACCUUGGACCUGUACCUUCAAAAUCGCUGCCAAGUAUCAUAGCCGCACCUACCUUAAAUUUGAAGCCAUUGCCAUCACAUUUAAAGUAUGCUUUCUUGGGAGCUGCUGAGACUUUACCUGUUAUAAUUUCUGCAUAUUUGAGUGAAGUUGAAGAAGAAAAACUAUUGAGAGUGUUAAGAAGGCAUAGAAUGGCAAUUGGGUGGAGUAUUGCUGACAUCAAAGGAAUUAGUCCGUCCAUUUGUAUGCAUCGGAUCUUGUUGGAAGACAAUUACAAGCCUUCAGUUGAGCAUCAACGCAGAUUAAAUCCAAAUAUGAAGGAGGUGGUACGAGCUGAGAUUUUGAAGUUAUUAGACGCUGGAAUAAUAUAUCCAAUUUCGGACAGUAAAUGGGUGAGUGCUUUGCAUUUGGUACCGAAAAAGGGUGGAGUUACAGUGGUUAAGAAUGACAAGAAUGAGUUAAUUCCAACGAGGACUACAACAGGAUGGAGAGUAUGCACUGACUAUAGGAAAUUGAACAAUGAGACUCGAAAAGAUCAUUUUCCUUUUCCAUUCAUUGAUUUGAUGUUGGAUAGACUUGCUGGAUAUGCUUACUAUUGUUUUUUUAGAUGGGUACUCUGGUUAUAAUCAGAUUCCGAUUGCACCAGAAGACCAAGAAAAGACGACAUUCACAUGCCCUUUCGGUACUUUUGCGUAUAGGCGUAUGCCUUUUGGGUUGUGUAACGCGCCUGCUACUUUUCAAAGGUGCAUGAUGAGUAUUUUUUCUGACUUGGUAGAGCGUUGUAUUGAGGUAUUCAUGGAUGACUUCUCAGUUUUUGGCUCAUCGUUUGAUUCUUGUCUAGAUAAUUUGUCCUCGGUGUUGCAAAGAUGUGAAGAAACCAAUUUAGUUCUAAAUUGGGAAAAAUGUCACUUUAUGGUGCAAGAAGGGAUUGUUUUGGGUCAUAAGGUUUCGGUCAACGGCAUUGAGGUAGACAAGGCGAAAAUUGAGACAAUUUCAAAGUUACCGCCACCCACUUCCAUCAAAGGAGUUCGAAGUUUCCUAGGUCAUGCUGGUUUUUAUCGACGUUUUAUCAAGGAUUUCUCUAAGAUUACAAAACCGUUGUGUAACUUGCUCCUGAAAGAAGCGGAGUUUGUAUUCGAUUCAUCAUGUUUUGAGGCGUUCAAUGUGUUGAAAAUGAAGCUCACGACAGCUCCUGUGAUAGUUGCACCGGAUUGGGAAUUACCUUUUGAGAUUAUGUGUGAUGCAAGUGACUAUGCUAUUGGAGCAGUUUUGGGUCAGCGGAGAGAUAAGCUACUGCAUGUGAUUUAUUAUGCUAGUCGAACUCUCAAUGAUGCACAAUUGAAUUAUGCCACUACCGAGAAAGAGCUUCUAGCCGUUGUCUUUGCUUUAGACAAGUUCCGUUCUUAUCUCAUUGGUUCAAAGGUAAUUGUCUACACCGAUCACUCAGCUUUGAAGUAUUUAUUAUCCAAGAAAGAUGCAAAGCCUCGGUUGAUUCGAUGGGUGUUGUUACUACAAGAGUUUGAUUUAGAGAUACAGGAUAAGAAUGGGUCUGAAAAUGUGGUGGCGGAUCAUCUUUCUCGAAUUAUGCAUCAUGAAGGUGAUAAUGACUUAGUUAGACUAGGGACACCUAGGGGUUUAAAGGCUUGUUGCACAUGCUCAGUGCAAUCGUUUUGCCAGCGAAAGUGGGUUUAGUUAGACUUGUUUUAGUCAGUUUCUUAUUUUUGUUUUAUGUUUUGCUCGAGGACUAGCAAAAGAUAGGUUUGGGGGGUAUUUGUUAUUGUUAGGGUGAUAUUUUAUAUAUAUUUGUUAACUCUUUUACCUAUAACUUAGUCAUGAUUAUAUAGUAAAUUGGUGAGUUUGAUGUGUUUUUGUGCGAUUUUUGUAGAGAACAUAAUUCGUGAAUAAAGCAGGGAAUUGGAAACUUAAAUUAGAGAAACUCAAAGAAUUAUCGAAUGGGAUGUGACUGAUGGGCUGGAGCAAAGAAUGAAACAAUACAUCAUAUGGGAAAUUGGAUCAUUAAAGCAAGCCCAAUAAAAUUAGGCAGUGCAAGCUUGCGGUGAUGGUUUUUCCCAAAAAGAAUUGGGUUGGAGAGAAAACGGCAUGUGGAUUAGAAAAAAAAGGAAAAAUGCAUAGAAGAGAAAAAGGGUUUUGGAACCGUCUGACGAAUAGAACCUACCGGGCUCUCGAAUUGCUGGGGGGAGAUUUCAGGAGCCGCAAGAGGAGUGGAGACCCAAAAAGAAAAAUAACUCAGCGCAGACACAUACAUAAGCCGAGGAAAGAAGAAGCAAUUUGAGAAUUCUAGCUUUGCUGUGGAGUGGAGAAUGGAAUUUCAGUUGUUUCCUUCUUUGAUUUCGAAUUCUAGCGUGGUGUAUUUUAUUUCGAUCAUGAACUAAGUCCUUUUGCUAGGAUUAGGGUGUACUCUUACCAUGAACAUCUAAUUCUUAUUAUUUCAUAUUGAUCUCAGUUGUUUUCCAUGUUGAGUAAUUGUUAUUGUGCUUAUUCGUUAUCAAAUAACUGGCCAUUAUUUGUUGUGAAGAACUAAAUUGGGACUGAUAGGUUGAGUUUAGUAGAUUGCUUCUCAUAACAAUUACCAUGAAUUGCAUAAUUGAGUAGACAUACUGGUUAUGACUUGUGUGUAGUAUUGUGAAAUUAUCCAUUUAGCGUAAAGGGUUUCGAUUAUCUACUUCUGUGGUUAGACAUAGCAUGGGUGGAUAGUUAGAAACACAGUUAGUAUAUUCUGAAAGGAAAUAUUGACAAAUCAAGGGAUAAUUGCUAGCAACAUGGGAAUAAUUUGAGUUUAAUAUGAAU
Molecule: long non-coding RNA, 7278 nt
Filed under: Malus domestica (apple)
Lineage: Eukaryota; Viridiplantae; Streptophyta; Magnoliopsida; Rosales; Rosaceae
Description: long non-coding RNA (MDOM_LNC000767)
Source: RNAcentral